AGAGUUUGAUCCUGGCUCAGGAUCAACGCUGGCGGCGUGCCUAAUGCAUGCAAGUCGCACGGGACACCUUCGGGUGUUCAGUGGCGAACGGCUGAGGAACACGUGCGUAUCUGCCUUUCCGUGGGGAAUAACGGGUGGAAACACCCGCUAAUACCGCGUACGCUUGCUUCGGCAAGGAAAGCCUUCGGGCGCGGGGAGAGGAGCGCGCGGCCCAUCAGGUAGAUGGCGGGGUAAUGGCCCACCAUGCCGGUGACGGGUCGCUGGUCUGUGAGGAUGACCAGCCAGACUGGGACUGCGACACGGCCCAGACACCUACGGGUGGCAGCAGCAAGGAAUCUUCGGCAAUGGGCGCAAGCCUGACCGAGCAACGCCGCGUGGAGGACGACGGCCUUCGGGUUGUAAACUCCUUUUCUGUGGGAUGAUACGGACAGUACCGCAGGAAUAAGCCCCGGCUAACUCUGUGCCAGCAGCCGCGGUAAUACAGAGGGGGCAAGCGUUGUCCGGACUUGCUGGGCGUACAGCGCGCGCAGGUGGUCGGCUAAGUUCGUGGUGACAGCGUGCGGCUCAACCGCACACGGUCCAUGGAGACUGGUCGGCUAGAGGCAUCGAGAGGGAUACGGAAUACCCGGUGGAGCGGUGAAAUGCGUAGAGAUCGGGUGGAACACCAGCGGCGAAGGCGGUAUCCUGGCGAUGACCUGACACUGAGGCGCGACAGCGUGGGGAGCAAACGGGAUUAGAUACCCCAGUAGUCC
Molecule: ribosomal RNA, 752 nt
Filed under: uncultured Chloroflexota bacterium
Lineage: Bacteria; Bacillati; Chloroflexota
Description: bacterial SSU rRNA
Rfam family: Bacterial small subunit ribosomal RNA
Source: RNAcentral